AAGCAGGGCUAGUGCUGGGGUGGAGGGGCCUGGGGCUGGGAUGGGGGCUGUGUGGGGUCUGCAUGCCUUCGGAUGGGGUCCGAAGGCUGUUUUGGGAGGGCACAGCAUCCUGGCACCCGACGGGGACCCUGUGGUCCCUGCCAAGUGGAGCCGGUGCAGCCUCUUCCCUUCGCUGUGGAUCUUGGCAUGGAAAACCCCAAAUACUGCUAGGAUCCUGCUGAGUGGCUGGCAGCCACGGCUACGUGAUGCCAGGAGAGCCGGCAGCCUCCCUGCGUGCUGUGGCACGUCACUGGCGUCUGUGGAUCCCUCCCCGACCUGAAGCUGUGCCCCCCAGCCUGGUGAGGAGGUGCUGCCUCCCGCUGUGCCCCCCUUCACCCGCUCGAGGUCUGCGGGUGGCUGGCACCGCGCACGCCCACUGUAUUUUACCGGCACGAUUUCCUCCUUUGGCAUCGGUGACGGGAGCGGGGGCGGAGAUGGGGGGAGCCCGGGGGAGACACAAAUGUGCGACUGCAGCAUCCUUCGCUCUCACGGCUGCAUCCCUCGCACCUCCUCACGGUUGCCUUGGCAACCUCCUAUCGAUGGGGUAUUUAUAGAGGAGACGAACGCGUACGCGUCGGAGCUGGCGGGGCGGGAGGACACAGCGGGACUGGGUGGGCGUCUGCUGGGUCAGCCCCCAUCUCCAGGCUUCUCUCCGCUUGCGUGGCUGCGCGGGGGCAGGAGGGAUGCUGCUCGUGUUGGCGUCAGUGUGUGCUGUGGUCCAGCUUUUCCUGCUCAUCGGCGCCGGGGCGGAGGUGGUUAGGAAUUUGCGUGUGGAAAUAAAAAUAAGCAUCCGGGAUGCCUGCCCUUCUCGCAGGCAUCGCUCCUGCUUGUAGGCUUGUGUAGACCUGGUUUGUUGUUGCACUGGAAUAAACCGUCUCUGAGCUCUGGCACUGGGUGCUUUGGCACAGGUACUUGGAAAAAAGUUAAAGAUAAAAUCUGCCUGACGCAUUAAAUGUGUUGCCUGAUGUGUGACGUGGGUUAUGGAGCUGGGGGUCCUGACAAAUCUGGUCUUGUAUAUCCUUAUUUCUGCAUCUCUGUUCUCCUGUCUAUUAAAGGGGGAGAAUGCCUGUAACAACGAGCAAUACAGAGGUUUUGUGUGGAAACUGUGGCAAGUUUUCCAUGCCGUGUGUUUCUUUUUAUCCUGUGUGUUUGGGUCUCUUUGUAAAAACUGAUGACAACAAAAGCAGGUCAGGUAGUCCCUGCUCAGAGCUGAGGCAGCCUGUGGGGGGAUGCAUGGAUCCGGAGGCUUCUCAGCUGCUCUCGUAUCCCCCAGAACCGCUCAGAGAAGUGGGCUUGGGUGCUCAAUUUAUCAAGAAGAGUCCUCCAGGUGUGGGCUGUGGGGCGCAGAAGGUGGCAGACCCCUCCUGUGUAAUUCCGGUGCUCUGCCGCUUUCCCUCGCUCCUGCUUAAACUCCAGACUGAGGUUUGCAAACUGUUGGAAAGAAACUGCUUUCUGCCUCUGGAGACAGCUCCGGGCUUGCCUGGCCUCGUGCCACUUGUGGUGCAGGAACCUCGGAAAGCUACAGGAAAACCUGCUGUUGGCGGGGAGAGGUCCCAGAUUUACUGAGGAGGCGGCUGUUGGUGAGGUGAGGGAGCGCCUGCUGUGGUGCUGUGCACCGGCCCUUCUGCGUGUCUGGAUUCCUGCCUUUGACGUGAAAUCAGAAAUGCGUUUCCAGCCCCACUGACCCUGUGCACGGCCCUGUGCUGUCCCUGACCUCGCUCCAGCUGAACGGAUUCAAGUGCUUUUGGGAUAACUUUGAAUAAUCUGAAGUCCCGCACCUAAGAUUAGCAUGCGGUUCAGUUCCUGCUGUUUCUAACCGCGUUUGUUCCUUCAUCCGCAAUAAAUCCCUGUAGGAGCUGGUUAGUCCUGUCCCCUCUGUCUCCUGGCAGAGUUGUGGCUUUGCCACAGCAAGGUGUCACACAGGGCGAGAGGAGACAAGUUCGCCCAGGAUGGUCUGAUUGGUGGGGCAUCGAGCACGGGGAGAAGAUAAAGCGUGAAAAACAAGUGAGUGAAACUCCUCCUGUGAGCAGAGAGGGAUACACUCUGCUUGUGCAGGACUUUGUUUCACUCUUGUGGGGUUUUGUUUAAUUCUGAAGUACAAAAGAUGCUUAUCCAGCUGGAGAGCUGUUGUCCUGGGUGUGCAGGGAAUUCUGUCGCUCUUGGUGUUGCCCUUAGCUUGGCCCAACAACCUUUAGGAGAUGCAUAUCCUUUUCUUGCCGGCUUUAUGGCAGUGGAGAAAACAGUAUGGCCCUGUUUGUUGCAGCUUGUGCGUAGGAGUUGCAGAAGGUAGAACUGGCACGGCUGUGAAAUGGAUUUAAAACAGGAUGACUUGCUUUACCUGGAUCCAUCAAUCUCUUCUGGAAGGGAAGAGCACCCGGCUGCUCCCAGCAGCUUCUGACGUGCAGGACGUCUGUACUGAUGAGAUAUGGGGACUCUCCCUCAUCCAGUUCUUCCCUUCCUGCUUCCCUUUGUCUGGGCAGGUCCCCGUCCCUUCCCCAGGCUGGUGCAGCACAAGUACGGCAGGAACCUGCCCCAGGCUCUCGGAGAGCCCAGGGUGCCCUGAGCCCCCCUGGUCCCUCCAGCCACAUGAUGAGCGGGGAGGCAGCAGGAUUCCUUGGCUCUCCGAAGAGGCACUGCUUGGCCGGGGACUGUCCCUGCUUUCUGCAUGAAUCUGACCCUGGGCAGUGGAGGCUUUGGGCUUCAGCGGGGGGAAAUUUAAGCUGUCAGUGACUCUCCUGUUUUCUUCCCUGCAGGUAGGCAGGACCCCCCCCCCCCCCGGUAGCCGAGUGAGGCAGCAUGGCAACCUGCGCGGAGGCUGCAUGCAGCGAUGUGAUGGGAGCUCAAGGAGGCCGGCGAUUGUGAACGGGGAGAUGUAGAGAUCUGGCUGGGAUCUCGGCAUUUGCUUGGGCUGUCACCGGAGCCAGCUAUGAAGGUGGAGGCAGUAGCCACGCUGGGCAGGAGGAGGACCCCAGGGGUGACAGUGGCCAGUUCAGCACGACAAAACAGGGAAGGGGUCGAGUGACUGGUAUCUGCAGGGAUGGAAAACCCUGACAGUGAGAUCUGCGGCCAAGCUUGUUGCCCCAAGGUGUGCUGAGGAAGUUGAAAAGAGUCUCGGACUCAAGUGCUGAGGAGGGGAGAGUUGAUACCGCAGCCUGACCAAGGUGGGAGGCAAAGGUGGCAAGGCCAGACUUCUCCACCAAAGGAUGGGACGUUUGCAGGAUGGAUGGCGUCUUUGUAAAAUUUCAUCUCAUUCCGGAAAGGCUCAAGAGAAGGUCAGGCCAACCUGUUCCCUCUCCAGCCAGGACAGCCCUCCUCAACUGCAAAAAGCCAAGGCAAGCCGAUCCCUGCCUUCCUGCAAGAUGCCUUCUGUGCCUCUUGAAAAUGCUUUUUCAGUUGUCCUUGUAAAAAAAAAAAAAAAAAAAAAAAAAAAAAAGGUCUGCAUAAUAAAGUCAAUUCUGAGGGAAGGUCUCUGACUCACAUCAUUCAUGCUGCUCUUCAUUCACACCUCAGUGGUUCAGCCCUCUGCAAACUCUCUCACUGAAGCAAGCCAUUAAUAAAUCACGGGGGGGAAUGCACCUACACAGCACAAAAAGAACACAGUGCCUCCAAGCACGGGAUGGUGUAGCAGAGUAGUAGUUGCUUACGCCGUGAUCUUCUCCCUGCCUUGACAUUUCCAGAUACUCUCACAAACACCUUGCUGUAUUGUUUUAGGAGCAGGAUACAUGGAAGGUACAGCAGAAGGAAACCUGCUGGUGUCUGGUAAAAGGCUCCUAAUCAUAGAAUCAUAGAAUGGUUUGGGUUGGAAGGGACCUUAAAGACCACCCAGUCCCACCCCCCUGCCCUGGGCAGGGACACCUCCCACCAGACCAGGUUGCUCUAAGCCCCAUCCAACCUGGCCUUGAACCCCUCCAGGGAUGGGGCAGCCACAGCUUCUCUGGGCAACCUGGGCCAGGGGCUCACCACCCUCAUAGUGAAAAAUUUCUUCCUAAUGCCUAAUCUAAAUCUCCCCUCUUUCAGUUUAAAACUGUUACCCCUUGUCCUAGCGCUCCACUCCCUGACCCAGAGUCCCUCCACAGCUUUCCUGUAGCCCUUUUAGGGACAGGAACGGGUUCUAAUGUCUCCCCAGAGCCUUCUCUUCUCCAGGCUGAGCAGCCCUGAUUCUCUCAGCCUGUCUUCACAGAAGAGGAGCUCCAGCCCCCUGAGCAUCUUCGUGGUCCUCUGGACCUGCUCCAACAGGUCCAUGUCCUUCUUGUGCUGAGGACUCCAAAGCUGGACGCAGUACUAAUGAAAGAAGUUGGUAGCUCUUCACUCACUAUUACUUUUGAUCUUCACCAAGCUCUUUAUUCUGUGUUACAGCCAAGCUGGUCUAAUGGGAGACGCUGGCUGUCCCCUUGCCUCCUUGUCCCGCAUCUGUUGAUGUUGCUGCAGUGUUUGUUCAUCUGGUUGAUCCAGUGGAAGACUGUGGCUGAGGGUGAAGGAGGUAAAUAGGUUUCUAUGGAUCAGCCAGGUGAACCGAUUCAUCCUCUUCAAGGGAAGCAACAUCAUUAUGUAGCUGGGUGGGAAGAGAAGGUCCCAGCCUACAGCUGAGUGUGUUGAGCUGCAUUACGGAAACACUCUCUUAUGAAAUGCCUGCAUGGGAUGUUUGAAUCCUGGAAGGGUUGUGGUUUGUGUGGAGUUUCUGCUUUCUAGGCAACAACUUGUUUGUCUCUCUUGUGCUGCUGCAGAUCCUGUUAGGUACUUAGAGCCCAUGGAGCUUUCCCUCCUGCAGAAUAUGGAGGGAGAGGCUUUGAAAGGGCUGUGUCUCCUGCAGGAAGAAGGUGCUGUUCCUGCUCAGUCAGGCUUCCUGACUGCAUGCUCUGAGGGAGGAUCUGAUGUGGGCAACACAGAGUCUCCCAGGCUUUGGGAGCAGAGGAAGGUUUGUGAGGCCUCAGCACAGUAGGGAUGAGGAUGUGAUGCCAUCUGAGGAGAGGUUGCUCAGCCCCGUUUCAGUGAUUCAUGACCCGCUGUGUGUUGGGGAUGUUUGCCCUUCUUGGGCCUGGGAGAAGACACAGUGGUUUGUCUGGGAGCUGAACAGAGACCCCGAAGCCACCUGAGCUUGCAUGACCCCACAGCAGCUGGCAGCGGGGACACCAGCUUCCAGCAGGCUCUCUGCCCUCCUCCUGGGGGGCUGUGGAGGUGCGAAGCAAGAGAGGGGGCUCUGGGGUGAUGCAGGGGGGGACUGUGGAAUGAAGUGCAAUGCACUGUGUGUCCUGAGUCCAUCUUGGUCUUGGCAGAGAGGUCUGGCUCUGUGUCCCAGCUUGCCUGGUGGGAUCUCCCUUGCCCUGCAGCAAAGAGGUGAAAUCCCGUCAAGGGAAGGAGGUUGAAAAUCAAGUCUUUUUGGAGCCUUCCGUCUCUUCUUCAGCUGCCCCGUGUGGUCCGCAGCUGCCGAUUCUGAUGUCUAUAACAUCUCAGCCCUGCUGGAAGGAUGCUCCUGGUGCUGUAUGUCUCCGGGCAGACCCCAAGAGCCCUGCGCCCCUCUGGGUGUGCUCUCCCUCAACGGGCACUCUGCUGUGCUAAAUGAAUUGUAGCCCUGGGCUUUUGGCGUUUGGGAUGCCCGUAUCACCAAAAUCCCAUGGGAAGCCAGGUGGGAAAGCCAGAGGCCAGUGUGGGGUUGUCUCUGCUCAGCAUCUCUCUGCCUUGUGUG
Molecule: RNA transcript, 5722 nt
Organism: Chroicocephalus ridibundus (black-headed gull)
Lineage: Eukaryota; Metazoa; Chordata; Aves; Charadriiformes; Laridae
Gene: PRRG3
Gene name: proline rich and Gla domain 3
Exons: 3
Source: RefSeq, a predicted model, not a curated record